GCAGGACACAUUGAACAUCGACAUCUUGAACGCAUAUUGCGGCCUAGGGUCACUCCCUUGGCCACGCCUGUCUCAGGGUCGGUGAAACAAACUUCGCAAGCAAAUUGCUCUGUACUCGGCUUGCGCAUUGGGCUGUCGAAGUCCUUCGGGACUCCGUCGCCUUAAGUUCAGACCCGAUUGCUUCGGCACGUCGCGUCUUGCGGUCUCGACCACACAUGACGUAGCUCGCUGUAUCUGAUUGUCACACAAGCACUACGCCGGUCGUCCGACUGCGAGUCGUGUCGCCGAGAGCGGUCGAAAGAAAGUUGCUACUUGUCUUAAUCGAAAAACUUUCACCUCCGACCUGAGAUCAGACGAGACAACCCCCUGAAUUUAAGCAUAUCACUAAGGGGAGGAAAAGAAACUAACUAGGAUUCCCUCAGUAACGGCGAGUGAAGCGGGAAAAGCCCAGCACCGAAUCCCUCGGCCUUGCGCCGCUGGGACCUGUGGUGUUUAGGACGCCUCACUGCGGUGGGGUACGGGUGCCCAAGUCCUUCUGAUCGGGGCCUCUCCCAUAGCGGGUGUCAGGCCUUUACGGGCACUCGUCCCUUCUGCUAAGAACGUCCUUGG
This 609-nucleotide ribosomal RNA is filed under the name Pinctada albina. RNAcentral describes it as "eukaryotic LSU rRNA". The stretch from base 340 to 609 matches the Rfam family "Eukaryotic large subunit ribosomal RNA", at positions 1 to 262 of the family's 3401-position model. Lineage: Eukaryota; Metazoa; Mollusca; Bivalvia; Pterioida; Pteriidae. The record is from RNAcentral.